RNAcentral lists this ribosomal RNA (118 nucleotides) under Amphilophus citrinellus (Midas cichlid). The record is from RNAcentral. Lineage: Eukaryota; Metazoa; Chordata; Actinopteri; Cichliformes; Cichlidae.
GCUUACGGCCAUCCCGCCCUGAACACGCCCGCUCGUCUGAUCUCAGAAGCUACGCAGGGUCGGGUCUAGUUAGUAACUGGAUGGGAGACCACUUGGGAAUAACCAGGUGCUGUAAGCU